UACGGAGGACGCGAGCGUUAUCCGGAUUUAUUGGGUUUAAAGGGUGCGUAGGCGGCUUUUUAAGUCAGCGGUGAAAUUUUGCAGCUUAACUGUAACAGUGCCGUUGAUACUGGGGAGCUAGGAUUUGGUUGCUGUGGGUGGAAUGUGUGGUGUAGCGGUGAAAUGCUUAGAGAUCACACAGAAUAUCGAUUGCGAAGGCAGCUCACAAAGCCAAGAUUGACGCUGAGGCACGAAAGUGUGGGGAUCAAACAGGAUUAGA
RNAcentral lists this ribosomal RNA (259 nucleotides) under uncultured prokaryote. Its description in RNAcentral is "partial 16S ribosomal RNA". It matches the Rfam family "Bacterial small subunit ribosomal RNA", at positions 524 to 782 of the family's 1533-position model. The record is from RNAcentral.